RNAcentral lists this unclassified non-coding RNA (430 nucleotides) under Hevea brasiliensis (rubber tree). Lineage: Eukaryota; Viridiplantae; Streptophyta; Magnoliopsida; Malpighiales; Euphorbiaceae. The record is from RNAcentral.
UUGUUUUAUUCAAUCAAAGAGCAUUUUUUUUGCUAAGAACACAAUUUAAAUCAGAUAAUAUAUAUCAACUGAACUCUUUGUAAUGAUGUUCAUGCAUAAAAAAUGCUCUUUGAUUGAAUAAAACAAACACCACCACCACCACCACCUAUAUAUUACAUCACAUGAUCCAGCAAGUUCCCAGUAAUUAUAUUAUAAGAGGAAAAUCGUUGCUUCAUCCAAAUUACAGGUUUCCAUAAGAAAUGACAAACAGACUUCCAUUGGAAUGGGAUUAAGGUACAUCUCACUUACUACCAUCACCAAAGAGGUAUCCCAGAGAAGAUCCACCACCAGGGGCAGCAUGGACUUUGGUUGAAGGUCGAUCCGUGAUGAAGUUUCCAGCAUUUUGGCCAUCUGCCCGCAUAUAGUUGUUUGCAGAAGAACUAUUAAUACC